This is a long non-coding RNA of Physcomitrium patens, 2544 nucleotides long. RefSeq lists it as uncharacterized. The record is from RefSeq and is a predicted model, not a curated record. Lineage: Eukaryota; Viridiplantae; Streptophyta; Bryopsida; Funariales; Funariaceae.
GAACAACAUCGUACGUCAGGUUCGACACACCACCGUUAAGGGGUAAUGCGGUGCAGAUUACGAAAGCUACUUGGUAAGCAUGGGCGUUGAGUGUUCCAUCCGUUGGGGACGUUGAGCACAUCAGUGGCCCAUAUUAUUUGCAGGGGAAAGGAUACCUGAGGAUGUGAAUCGAACCCUAUAUAUGGUGUCCUUUCCGACCUAAUGCUCAGAGUGCGCCCGGCGGGUGAGAGCUGACGGCAGGACUGGGCGGGUUGUCUUGUGUGGAUCCAUCUCGGAGAUCAUGCGGCGGCGGAGUGUGUGUUUGUGCUUUCAGUUUCUUGUGUGCGAGGGCGUUGGAGGGUCCCUUCGCGUCCAGCUUAGUUGGGACCGAUCCUUGCAGGUCAUGGGAGUGUGCGAUGAGCGGGCGUUUUAGGGUUUUCCAUGUUUGUGUGCGUGCGGUGUUGUCGGAGGAUGCGAGGCAAGUAGACGUGGGAAUGCGUUGUGCGGAGAUGGUGUGGUGCGGGUGCGAGCUAUGAGGAUUUUUUAUUACCAGUAUAAGCCAGUUCUGCUACUGAGAUAUGUGAGUGAUAAACUGGUCAGAGACUGAGCUCUUGGGGUAGAGGGGUGGUAGUAUGUGGUGUGGCGGGGGAGCUUUUGUGAAGUUGAGCUGAGUCGAGGGAGGGGUGGGAGCUCUGAAUGUGACGGCACAUGAUUGCCAACGUGGUGGGUGUAGUACGGUUGGGAGUGGUUGAGUGGUAGCCCCCGGCGCCGGUGGAUCGAGUGAUGAGAUACAAACGCAAAUCUUAGGACACCUUCUUACAUGGCGAAUGCCGUGGAUGAGAGUGAAAGUUCUCUGACGAUUAUCCACUGUCAUGAAUAUCGAAUGAGUUGUUCUUUUGUCGGUGUGCUGCUGUGACGACUAACCGAAAUUAUACAUGUUAGACUAUGGAGAUGGCUUUGGUCAUCCGUGAAUAACAAGAAUGGAUCUGAGCAGAGUACUAGGUCCGCUGUGCGGGGGGGGGAGGGGGUGUUGGACAUGUCCGGUGAACAGAAGGAUGUGAGGGUCUGAUGCGGGAGCUGGUUGGUUCAAUCAGCUCGCAUUUGUGGGUGGACGUCGGUGAACGUGGCGGGGUUAUGGACAGAUGAUAGAGUUUCGAAAGCAUAGGAUGAGAAUAUUGGAUUCCCCUUCCAACUGCGGUAUGAGGAAAAGUCCUGUUCCUGAUGCUAUAUCACUUGUUUGGGUGACUCCGCUUUGUGUAAUGCUGUGAGGUUAUCCUGUUUGGUCAAGAGAAGUGAUGAACAUUUUAAUCCGUUACCACUCUGAAGGAUGACAUGUGGACGAAUAUUAAACCAUGGCUGUGGUUCUGAUCUCUAUUUCCGCGUGGUUUGAUAUUGCUACAAGAUCCGUUGAACUACUGUUGCGAAGGAUCGUUGAAUUAGUGACCGGACCUUAGAUUUUGGUGGAAAUCUGGGUCACGGUUCUGGGGCUGCCGUGCUCACUUGGAGUGAUUAUUGUAAACCAAUUGCUCCGCACCCGGUAUCGCUGUGGAGAUAGCCAGGAGGUGGAUUAUGGUCCUUGACAUAACCACUUCAGAGAUGUUAUGAGGACGCGCAUGUGCCUCCUGGUGCGAUGUUCGAGCUUCUCGUGGAUAGUUGUUUUAUCCUACCCGGUUUCACCUGUUUGCUAUAAAAAGGUUCGUUUAAACGAAGAUGUGGGUGUUCUGCCUGCACACUGUGCGACCAAUGACGCAAUCGACAAUCGAAGUGCAGCUUUGCCAUGAGUUGUACCUAUUAAAUAUGUUGCUCAACAAAUUACCUACGCCGAAGGUAUAUACGGAAGACAACCUUCCACUCAAUGUGCAUUUGCAAACAGUUUUAUCCAGCAUUCGAAGUUCCAUGUAAGCAGACGAACCCGCCUCAUAAAGGAGAGGAUAAAUGUCUGCGGAAGCGUUUGCGUUGUCCUCAUCACGGUAGCGCAGCUUUCCGAACAAAGGUCCUGGUAGAUUUUACAUGUAUUUAUGAUAAUCCUUCAACCAACUAAACAGACUUGAAAGGAGACAUGAAGGUGAAACAAAUGACUACUCUACAACCAGCUGAAGAGGGAAUUCAGUUGUAAAGGAAGUGCCGAUGUUUUGAACGCAAUGAAAUGUUGUAUUGGGUGGACUAUCUUGUUAUUAUUCAUUGUUCAACAACUGAUAUCUGCUUUAAGAGUAAACAAAGGAGAAAUAUUUGUAUGAGAAGGGAAAUGAGCGACGUAGUAGUCACUCUUCAAUGCAGAUUAGAGUACAAAAAUGAUGUUGGUAAAAUGCAUCAUAGCCUCAAUUUCAUCAUAUGUACGAGUCAUACGAAGUAGCUCUUGUGGUAGCCGUCCAGAGACAAUGAUGCUUUUGGCCUGAUCAACAAAUUGUAAACUGUUUCUAACAUGACAUCCUCGAAUGAAGAAGCUUGUAGUUGAACUUACAAUAGUUACUUCAUAUGAAUAAUAUGAAUAAUAGUCUAAAAAUCGAAGUAACGUGUGAGAAAUGUCCGUCCAAUCUGUACAGUAAAGCUGCCAUCAUCAAACAA